CAGUCGCCGCGGGAAUACGUAGGUGGCAAGCGUUGUCCGGAAUUAUUGGGUGUAAAGGGUGUGCAGACGGCUUAUUAAGUCACUUGUUAAAUUCUUCGGCCUAACUGAAGGUCUGCAAGUGAUACUGAUGAGCUAGAGGGUGGAAGAGAGAAGUGGAAUUCUCGGAGUAGCGGUAAAAUGCGUAGAUCUCGAGAGGAACACCAAUGGCGAAGGCAGCUUCUUGGUCCAUUCCUGACGUUCAUACACGAAAGCGUGGGGAGCAAACAGGAUUAGAUACCCCAGUAGUCCCUGUCUCUUAUAC
RNAcentral lists this ribosomal RNA (301 nucleotides) under uncultured bacterium. Its description in RNAcentral is "partial 16S ribosomal RNA". It matches the Rfam family "Bacterial small subunit ribosomal RNA", at positions 509 to 807 of the family's 1533-position model. The record is from RNAcentral.